This 105-nucleotide ribosomal RNA is filed under the name Lepisosteus oculatus (spotted gar). The record is from RNAcentral. Lineage: Eukaryota; Metazoa; Chordata; Actinopteri; Semionotiformes; Lepisosteidae.
GCCAGCAGCCAUAUCACCUGUCAACCCACUGAAACUAAGCAGGUGUGAGCCUGGUCAGUACCUGGAUGGGAGACGUCCUGGGAAAAAUUAAGGUUGCUGCUGGAA